GCUAUGCUAAUGAAACCACAACAAUUUAACUUCCGAUGUCAGACAUCUUCUUUUUAACGCGACUUAGUCGGAUAUGAAUUUAUUAUCAAAAAAAUUCAUGUUUGACCUUCUAUAUUAGAUUUGGCUUCGUCAUUGUAAAAUGUGCGAGAAAGACAGAAAUGCAAUACUGCUUGUAACCUCCUCCAUCGCUAAACGGAAGCGGAAGCGCAUGUUGCGUUGGACUACAACUCAAACAGCCAAUUAGAAGGCGACAUGCCUUGCCGUAAAUGGCAUGGUGGCAAUACCAUGAAAAUCCUAAACUGGCACUCGGGGAUAAUGAGUGAUGCUGCAGUGGGUGUUCAUCGAGUUGUGGGUGUUAUUUGUUAGCUUUUCCUCGCAUACACUGACCACAGUGACACUGUUCGUUUAGAUUAGAAUUAUUUCAAACGAACUCAUAAAACAACUCACCUCGCUAGGGUUUCAUAUGUACGUACAGCACAUACAACAACACAAACAAACUACUGAAUGUCGGCUGUUAAGGGAUGCACAUCAUUUUCAAGAUGAAAGCGCUGCCUGUCGUCCUCUUGUGGCUGUGACAAGGAGUUUUUGUCCUCCAACAUCAUAUCUUUGUACACAUUAUGAUAAGAGUCAACUAUGAAGGUAGCUCAACAGGAUUUUUCAUUAAUAUCAGGAGAGAGAGGAGAGAACGAGACAAGAUGAAGAAGAAGAAGAAGAGGUUUCGGCGGAUAUUUGUCUCAUCCCAAAUUCACCAGAGCUCAGGAUGAGCAGGUGGAGCAGGGUGAGGUGCAGGACACUGACGAGGCCCCAUCCAGGAGAUGUACUGAUGGUAAAAGACAAGAAUGCUGCCGUUUUAUCCGAGGCUGUCUGAAGAGUGACCCAGAGCAGAGGAAAUCUGAAGGAGAUGAUCUUCCAUGACUGGUUUAAGGCCCCUCUGUAAGUCAUGGAGGACAGGGUCAGCCUUGCGUCUGGAUCCUUUCAUGGCCCCAGUGUUUGCCAUCACUGGUGUGAUUCCUCCAUUAAUAUAUUACACCUGUGUGCCACAUUAAAACACAGUGUUUG
Molecule: long non-coding RNA, 1059 nt
Organism: Cyprinus carpio (common carp)
Lineage: Eukaryota; Metazoa; Chordata; Actinopteri; Cypriniformes; Cyprinidae
Exons: 4
Source: RefSeq, a predicted model, not a curated record